RNAcentral lists this ribosomal RNA (93 nucleotides) under Nitrospiraceae bacterium. RNAcentral's name for it is "partial 23S ribosomal RNA". It matches the Rfam family "Bacterial large subunit ribosomal RNA", at positions 2833 to 2925 of the family's 2925-position model. Lineage: Bacteria; Pseudomonadati; Nitrospirota; Nitrospiria; Nitrospirales; Nitrospiraceae. The record is from RNAcentral.
GCCCGUGGUAGACUACCACGUCGAUAGGCUGGAGGUGUAAGUGCAGUAAUGCAUUCAGCUGACCAGUACUAAUUGGCCGUGUGUCUUGACCCU